Molecule: long non-coding RNA, 6322 nt
Organism: Myiozetetes cayanensis
Lineage: Eukaryota; Metazoa; Chordata; Aves; Passeriformes; Tyrannidae
Exons: 3
Source: RefSeq, a predicted model, not a curated record
UAGAGAGCUGUGAAGAGCUGAGAGUCUGGCUCAGUGUUCCCUAUUGCAGGAGGAAACCUGUAUUUAAAUCCAUGUAUGACAUGGAAGAUAUUUAUUUUAAAUUUCUGAAAAGGUUUUAAAAUUUACAUCUAAAUGGUGUAUUUCUGUCUCAGCUGAUGGUGCUUCGUAGGAAGAUUCUGAAGAAGACAUAGAAGUCCUUUGAUGAUUGUCUUCUUCAGUGAGAAUCUACACACUGUUCAUUGCAAUAUGGAAGCCUAAACUAUUUCCCACUUCCUGAAUAAAUAUUCUGAAGAGCAAUAUUGAAGGAUGCUUCUGUUAUUCUUACAAGGAAGUAGCAGACAAAACUGCAUUUUUUGAAGAAAAGGAACUACUCAUCACAUUAGGCAUGUUCUAAUUUUGCUAUUUGGGCUGAACUUUUAGAAUUACUUUUUCUCUUGUUUCUCUACCAAAACCUGACGAGAUCUCGAAUAUUCAAGUACAGAGCCUAAGUAUUCAACAUAUUUGCAGGUACAAUCCUAUAUGCUGGGUGAGCUGCAAAGUUUAGGCAAACAUCACAUCUUUUAGUGGCAAAGAGGGAUUUUGGUUUGCACAUGGGCAUCUAAGUUAACUUUAAUCACUGCUGAUCAAAUUCUUGACAUCUUACUUUUCCUAUGCGCAGGUGAGAAGGAGCCUGGAGAGAAGACAAUGUAAUGAGACCAUGAUAAGCAUUCUGUAGGACAAUACAAAGAGUGAUUACUUUUCCUCUGACCCUCUACAAAACCACUGCACAAGAAAACAAGUAAUAAAAAUUGAAUUUUGUCAAGAAUUACUUAUAUUAUUCAAAUGGAUCAUAAUGUUUAAUUUGGCAAUCUUUUAAGUUUGGCUGAUUCCGCUCUUUGCUUAGGAAAACAAGCUCUGAGAGGUAUCAGCUUUAAGUUAUUUACAUCCUACUUAGCUAGGAUAUAUAUCAUAGCUCAGUUUAUGUAUCAUUCCUUGACUGUAUGAAAUGAAUACCUGACAGUUAUCAUAGAAGUUGUUAAGUGAUCAUAGAUAAAGAAAAGUUUUCAGUGUAAUUAUUGAAUAAUGUGUAUAAGUGAAAUUUCUUUUAAUUGUGAAUUUCAUAAUCUACUUCAAUUCUAUAUUUUAAAUUCAAAUUUUGUGAGCUAAAGACUAAGUUUUUCCCUUCCUUAUGUUUUCAAGAACAUUAAAAUCCAGAUCUUUCAUAUCUGUUCCUAUUUAUGUCACUAGAAAAAGCUCCUUGCUGCGUUUACUUCAUCACAGAUGUGCGUUGUAUGAAUUUGAAGACAUCUUCAAAUACCUCUUGGUCUAUUUCUCCUUCCAACAGACAAUCCCUUUAAGUCUUCUGAAUUUAAUUUUAAUUAUAUGCUUCAGUUGCUGCCAUAAAACAAGUUAGUCUUGGCCCUGAUGUUAUAGGUUGUCAGGAAAUAUUUUAUAUGGAGAAACAAUGAACAAUGAGUAUAUGAUAUAACUUGUGGAAAAGUUGUGCUCCUGCAGUUUUCACUCAGACAUUAUUUCCACUUAUUAUGGUCUUUGCUGCCAGUGUUUUCCAAAAUAAUAAAAUCAGGACUCAAGAAGAAAAUAUGAGUGAGGAUCAAUAUGUACUCAUAGCAGACUGAGAGUUUAUGUUUGGCUGUAAAAUAGGGAGACUUUGGCAAAAUUUCAGUACAUAAUAUUAUGUGACAAAUCUCAAAUCAGGACAGGGAGUAUGCCAUAAUUUUUCUUUAGUACCAAUGAAAUGUAAUUUAAAGGGAAUGUAGGAAGACAAAGAUUGUCCAGAAAGGAUUGCUGGGAUAUGAGAUGUCCAGUGUUUUCCCUUUACAGCCAUCAAAUAGUAAGUAAUUGUGAUUUGGUUUAGGUAACCAUAGGUAAAUCCCAUACUCCAAAUCAAGUGUUACAUUUGACUAUUUUGAUAAUUUUGACUAAGGUAACUUACAUCAGUCAUUUCACCUGGGUGCCUGACUAACUUCUGUCAAAGCCACUCGGGUACCAUGGUUUUUCCUGCUGACUAGCUACUGCCUGGGGAUAGCAGUGAUUCUCUGCAGUCAUCAUCUGCCUUUCAAUCUUUUAUACAUAUUUAUAUUUUUUUGAGGCAUCUGGAAAUUUUUUUUUCUCAAGGUCAACUCAAUGUAAAAAAAUUAGAGCACAGAGCAGUAACUGUGUCUUUAUGUCCCAUGCAGAAAAAUCUACAUCUUUACCAUACAGGGGUAGGUUUUGUUUUUACCUAGAUAGAACUUUUUCUCAAAAGAAGUGCUCUUGAAAUCCUUUUUUAUCUGCAUUUAAAAAAACAAAACCAAACCCAAACCAAACCAAACCCCAACAAAUACCCAGACAAAAGACAAACAUAUUCUAUGGAAGAAACAGUGCAAUAUGACUGUGAUAUAGUUUUGUACAAGUAUGUUGGACUGAAUUGAAGGAAAGGGAAAUGAAGCACAAUAGCAUUUUAUUUUUUAAAUAGAGCUACAUUACCAUGAGAAAACUAGUUAAUAGGAAGCUAAAAAGGAGCAGCUAGAAGGAUAAAUUUUUUAUAGCUCGCGUGGAGAAUGUUUAAAACCACCACAUCAGAGGAUUGCAGUUAAUGAAUAGUGCUAAUUAAACAGAACCAUUCAAUGAAAACAGAACCAUUCAAUGAAAAACCAACCACAAAAAGAAAAGGAUUCAGCUCCAUGAAACAGCCAAAUUAAAGAGGAAAGUAGCUCUUAAAAAUACAUCCACCCAAAUAGAUGGAAGUCAUAUAUAAUUGGGGGAAAUAGAAAAGGGCAUAAACUCUACCAUAGAAAGAGCAAAGAACACUAGAAGCGGUAAAAAAAGAAUAGUAAUUUUAGAAUUUUGGGAGGUUGUGAAGAGGGAAUCUGCCAGAGCAUUUGUCUUGUUUAUGAAUGAUCAAGAUGCCACAGGAACUCUUAAGCAGGAUGAAAGCAUAGGAGAAAAGUAAUCUGAAAUCUUGGCAUUGGCUUCCAUGAUAGAGGAACUGGUUUGUGGAACUGCUGAGAGCAGAGAAGAUACCAAUAUGCUGCUUUGAAUGCUGCAUAUUUUGAAUACAGUGUGUGGAUCUGGUCAUUCCAUACAGAAGAACUAGAACUAAGAUAGAUAAAGUAUACCUAGGAAAGAUAUAGAGAAGAACAAGAAUAACCUAAAGUUUGGAACAACUUUCACAUAAAGAAAUGACAAAGGAAGGACUUGUCCACUUGGAAAGAAGAACUCUAUAAGAACAUGAACAGUGAAGUAAUAAAAUAAGAAAACUGUUGAGCUUUUCCCUCUAUAUAAUAGCGGAGACAUGGAAGUUUCAAAGCAAUGAAAAUAAAUAGUUUUUAAAAUAUCUUUCACAUAAUUUAAAUAUUUAAAUUUGACAACUCAUUGGUAGAAAAUGUUGUAGAGGCAACAAUGCCAUGUGAGUUCAAAAACAAACAAACAAAUUUAACAAAGAAAUAAACAGACUCACAGGGCAUACACUAAUUAAACAUGUCAAUCUGGGUCAAAACAUCAUUUCAGGAGGUCCAUGAACUUAAAGAAGUAGGAUAAGUAUAACAGGGGAAAUACAAUAACUGUUCACAGAAUGUUAAUAACUGAAAGAGUCUAUAAAAAGACUUUUAAUGUUCCUUUAUCAAAUUGUCCUGUUCUUUAUCAUUAACAGCAGAAGUCUCAGUGAUCAACACUACUGUUCUCCUGUACACUGGUUGUUCAAAACACACACCAGUAAGAACUUGGUGGCUAUACAGAAUUUUUUUAGAUGUUGCCAAGCUUGGAGUGUUUGCUAGUGGGUUGGAUAUUGAUGGCUUUCCUGCACUUCAAACCCUCCUCCUUGUCCAUGUUUUGCAAAAAGACAGAGUUUGCAUUUAUUAAAUGCUAAUGAUGAUUCGUUUAACUCCCAGAUUUUUUGUUCUUUCCUUUCUUCUGUUCUUUUUGAUUUAAAUGUGUGUUUUACCUUAAAUUUUGUUUUCUGCCUCAGUCAAUUUGUUUCCUUGUAUAGAAAGCUUGCUCUGGAAUAUAGUUGAGGUAGCUUGUAAAAGUGACUUCCAGUGGGAACAUAAAGCCAUCCCCUAUAUAUUAUGGUCAAUACUCCUAUAUUUACUACUGCCUCAGCUCAGACCUUGCACAGUGACCUGUUUUCCACUGUUAAUCUAGGAGUAGUUGGACCAAUUCUACAUCUGAAGAAACAUGCCCUUGUGCUCAUAAAAUAAGAGCGAUUAUCUUUUACCUCUUUGAAGUACUCACUGCAUAACAAACUUUGCCUUGGACUUCAGAAGAACAAAACUUAAGUAUUCCAGGGAAAAGCAGAGAGCCAUCCACCCAUCCAUAGGUCGUAGAUAUGAACUCAUUGCUGCAGUUGACAUCUCUAGACCUACUUUAAAGAGUUCCCACUCUUGUGUGGCACAGUGUCUGAACAUGGCUUUUAUAUUUUCAUGUGUUAGAAUGUGUACCUUCCCCCCAGAACUAAACCUUUUUCUCCUCCUCCACUUGCUUCCUUAUCCUCUGCUUUGGCAGGGCUUGUACCCUGAGUUUGAUACGCUGCUCGGCAGUCACCAUUACGUUUCCUGGCCUAGCCUUGUGUCUUCAGGCACUUAUGACAUUGGGCCAUUUUAUGCUGACAACCUGAUGUAAAAUGAGCUCCUUCACAUGGAAACAACCCUCGGGAGAGCAAGUUCCUUCCAACUGGCUUCAUAUUUUGUUUACUGAAGCAGUUUGAUUGUCUCUGUGUUAUACUCACAUAUCUUGUAAUUUUUCAGUACUGCUUCUAUUACUUUUGGUAAUUUCAAAGUUUUGGGCCAGGUUAAGUUCUCCAACUUAUUCUGCCAACAAUCAUCCUUUGAAUUCUCUCCUUAUUAAUGCCAUAAACCAAUUUAUAUUAUAACAUUCCCUCUAGGACUUUUCCAAAUGAACAACAUUCAGUGAGCUUUUAUUCUACCACACAGAGUUGCAGUUUCUUCUUGUGUCUCAAAUUAUUAUGAAAUUUAACACAUUCUACAGAAACUCUUAACUUUCCUGAGUGAGCUUUUAAGAUCUUUCGUAACUCCUCUAAAUUAUUACCACAGAAAACAGGACUGGAAUAAAUCUUGUCCUGGAGCAUCCUUCUGCCCCAAGACAAGAGGAGUUCUACCUGAAUGAGCUGUUGUUUUUCCGAGACUGUAACAGAGUAGGAGGAAGAUUUAUACAGCCAUUGAUUAAAAGCUUUUCUUUAUCUGCAGAUCUUGUCUGCAAGAAUAGGGAGAUCACAGCUUUCAUAAAUUGCUGCCAGCCCUUAUUUACUUUAUUGCCUGUGUUCAGUCUUCCUAAAAAAAUAUUGCUGUUAUGAUUAUUACUUCCUCCACCUAGACUGGUUUUGAAAUGGGAUCAAUCAGCUACAGUCCACAACCCAGUUCCUCCUGCAACUGAGCUGGUGUGCAACAGCUGGGUGCCCCUUUCACUUACCUGUAGAAACAAAUUUGCUGCUCUGAAUCCUGACUGAUUAAUGCCGUUUAUUGCAGAAUCCCAACUCUGGUCCCUUUCAGACACAACUCUGAACUCUGAACUCUCUCAGCAACUCCUCUCUCUUGUUUCAGGAAGGUAAAGUUCAGUUUAGUCAUAAAGCAGACGGACAGAGCUGGGAUGGAAGCUCUGGAGCCCGAAUGGGUCAAGCACCUAACUUUUUAAAGUCAUUGCCCAAGCCGGGUGCCUAAAACAGUUGCAAAAAACAGUCGCAAAAAACAGUCUUAAGGCUUUUAGUACUUCUAGUCUCUGUGCUAUUGCAAACAGACUGUGUAUUUGGCUGGAUAAUUUUUGUAUCUUCUUUGGCCUUGGCUUUUUCAGCUUGCCUCUUAGUUACUCGGAGAGGUUUUACCAAGGGUUUUGUAUCUGGUAUCACAGAUGUAACACAGAGCUCAAGGGAGAUGACAUAUUUUGGAUCCGGUUUAGACUUGGCUUCUCAGGGAAAUGUUUGCUCUUAUGAUUUUACUUUGUAACUUAAUACCAUUUUUAUAUUCAGCUCUGAACUCUGCAAAUGUUAAGGAGCAAAGCUCUCUGACUUCCCCGAGAGGUUCAGCAUUAGAAUAAUUUUAUGAACACUGGAGCUAAAGAGUAAAGUAGUGAAAAGGUUCUAGUGACAAAGUCCAUCCUAGGUUCUCUGCUGAUUUAAUCACUAGAAAAAAACACAUCUUUUUUGCUCUGUUAGUACCUUCCAGUCAUCUGAAAAAAACUUCUAACGUGUUAUUCAGACUGCAGAAGGAAGGAAGGCAGAUGUACUGCAAAGUCUCUGUGGUCUGAAUUGAUAAGCCUCUGUCUUCUUAACAGUGUUCACAAAGAUUUUUUUUUCUGUAUUGUACUACUUCUCAUUGCUGCAUGUGGAGUG